Macrobrachium nipponense is the source of this 2972-nucleotide long non-coding RNA. RefSeq lists it as uncharacterized. The record is from RefSeq and is a predicted model, not a curated record. The transcript has 4 exons. NCBI's taxonomy places the organism in Eukaryota, Metazoa, Arthropoda, Malacostraca, Decapoda, Palaemonidae.
UGCUCAUAGCCUCAUGUAAGGUAAACUCAUGGCACUGAAUGCUUUACAAGAUAGUAAAUACGGAGCCACUAUGUUCAUAAAUUUAAGACAAUCUAUCAAUCUUCUUUAGGUGAGCAUUGUAGCAGCUGGAACUGACACCUGUAAGGACGACAUUCGGGCGAAUGUUCGCCCUUCCAUUGUAAAAAUCUGUAUAUCCACAUGUCCUCUCUUUUCUUCCAGGAACUAAAAUGUAAAGCAUUUUACGCUUUUUCUUUUGAUGUAUAUAUGUCGGGAAUCCGUUCCCUCUGUGUAAAAUUACUCAUGUAUUAAAACCAUUUAUGAAACUGAUAUCUGUCAAGUGAUUAUCAGGUGCUAAAAAUGUAUUUAGGAUGUUUGGCCAGUUACACACUGGCUGCAGGAGAAACACUUGGUGAGACUAGCCUAGCGCGGCUAGCGGACGCUACUUUACUCAGUGACUAUAGUGGAGUUUGAGCUGUUCACGUACCUGAAAAAGUUCGUCUUUCUCUUCUCUGGCGUUAGAUCAAAGACGUUAGAUGACACGAACAUAAGGCUGUUAAGAAGAGAUGUGUGUAUAUUUCGCUUCACCGGCUACCGGUUGCCGUUGUCUUCUUCAGUAGGAUUAACAUGGUAACCAAAGCGAAUGGUGUGGUCUCGGCUUUUACACUCAUUCGUUCUGCGAUUUGUUUUUUAUAGCCGACAUGUGAACAGCUUGGAUCUGGCCUUCUGUGAUUGUUGAUUCUGCAACAGUGGUGAAAUCAUCAAAGCUGAUGACCUUGACACUAUCAUCUGCGCUACCUGUGCUACUGCUUGCCACGGCCAGUUGCUGAAAAAAAUUAAAAGGGGAAAAUAACAAAGCUGCAGCAGCAUCCAUCUGCCUACCCACCAUUCAUGAUGCACACACCCAGAGGCCUGGUUCUUCUGGGUGGAGACCAUCUUCAGAUCCAAGAAAAUCAAACCCUCAUCUCAAAAAGCCCAUGCCGUCCUCAAAUUCCUGCUGGACAACAUUCUCAAGCAGAUUGAAGAGUGGCUACCCGAACCACAGACCACCGUCACAUGUGAGAAACUGGAGGCACAACUAAGGUCAUCCUUCAGCAUACCCCCCAACCCUCUGAGCUAGGAAAUUACUAGACAACACAGGAGCAGCAAUAUGAGACCAGCAGCCACCACACGUAUACAAACACCUACAGUGAUUGAUGAUAAUUCUUGGUGCAGAUAAUCAACCAGAAAUGACAUUAGAACUGGUGAGAGAAGUCCUCCUAAUGAAGCUGCCUCACUGAACAGUAACCGCAAAACCCAAUGUAUCCACCAUUCCCCUCAACGAGCGUCGGAGAAUGGUGGAUGCAGUGCUUCAUCGGAACCCUCUCAACCACCUGCAGCAGCAGCCACUCCCAAACCAAAGCAUCAAAGUAGGACAGAUGAACACAGCAAGCCAGAGGACCUCGCCACUCAUGUGACUACAGGAGGGAGAACAAACACAAGCAUAAAACCAAAGAGAAGAAUGUCCAAAGGGCCUAUGUUUCUUCCACUGUAGAUUUGGGAGUGAGGCCCAAAAUAUGAGAAUGGCUGCCUGUUAAAAAAAAAAAAAAAAAAAAAAAAAAAAAAACUUUGAAGAGGGUCACAGUAGUGGCCCAAACAAUUAACCACCAGCAACAUUGGCAGAAAGGUUGCCUCAUAAGAGGAAAUGAGUCUCCUUUCACUUUCUUCCAGGUACAGACAUAAAUACUAAGUGUUUUUACAUCACUGAAGCAACAUCAAACAAUUCCUCAUUGACAAGGGUGAGUGCACAAGUCAUUCAUGCCAGCCAACCCCCACAAAUGCCUUGACCCCACCUCCAGCACACACUAGACAUCCUCUGCCAGUUGUGCCCCGCUCUAAGUUUAUGGAAGCCAAACAAUGAACUUGAAAUUCAGCAGCAAACAGUACACCAGAAAAUUCAAAACUGCAGACCACAAUCACUCAACUUUGUCCACUAGCAUUUUGGCCUUCAGGAAAUCUGCUCAAAGCCAGACACCAACUGGUUUCACAGGAUGACCCUAUAGCUCCCAUCACUCCAGUAGCAGCAGCAAAGAACAGGAAUUCCCCAAAAUAUUUGAAGACACCCUCCUAUGGCACUUACCUGAUUUUCCUUUUUCAAUUCAAUAUCUGAUGUAAUACGAAUAGUUUUUGUGUUAGAUGAAGUGGCUGAAUUCAGCACUGCAGUUCCAUCUUGUGUUCCACCCUGGUCAUCUGUCAAAAAUCCCACUGGAAGAUUUUGUCCCAUCCAUAUCAACUGACCUUCAUCAUUUUCAACAAUAUUGUGGGCAGUUUUCUGUAAUGAAAAUUAUAUGAAUUAUAAAUUUUAAUUACUAAAGGGACUCUUAUAACCUUAAAACAAUCAGAGAAAAAUGCAAAAGUAUGCCUUGUUCAAGCACACUUGUUAUUAAACAAAACUAGCAUCAAAAUUUAUCUAAAUGAAAGAGCUAAAAGACAAAAAGGUGGGAACUUCUCAAACACACAAAUCAUGACAGUACGUGAGAGGUGGCUUUAUGCACUUACGAUAACAUACCAAACAUUACUCGGAUAUCCUGCUGUCUGAAUGGUUUAGGGCAUGCUGCAAAACUCCAAGUGACCACCUAAGCAGGUUAUGCAGCAAGACAACAAAAGUAUUGAAAUAAAGGAAAAGGCCUUAAAAUUUGCAUCACUAAAUCACGGCUUCUUGUGAUUGUGAGAUUUGUGUAGGGAUCAUGGAAUCCUCCACAUAAUAAUGGCUGGGGAAACUGCGGAUGACACAAGGGACUGAGACCUUUAUGAAUAAUUCAUUUCACAUCAUAAAUUAAAAAGCAUGAUGCUUGCUCAAAUCUGUAAUAUGGAUGUGACUAAAACUUUUGGAAAUCUUUCCCAAAACACUAGUUGAAGGUGGUUCUUGGAAAACUACAUGAAUGAAGCAAAAAAAAAUUAAAAAUAAAUAUAUAUAAAUAAAUAAAUAAAUUAUA